ACACACCCACACACAACACACACACACAUUAACUUUAACACACGCACUCAGCACAAACAAAACAGCCCAGACGGAAGCAGUCACCCACUCCAGCUUCACAGCGGCGCCCACAGGCCUCAGCCUAAAGCCAAGGAACACCAGAAUACUGCAGGACACUGCAGGACAACGGAUCAUAAGACCCCACAGGAUAGACCACCACAGAGCAGCUUUUAUUUGGGUGGUGGAUAAGUCCCAGCACUGCAGUGACACUGACAUGAACAAUAAACACCCCCAGUCUAUUUAUGGAGGCGGGGUCUGGGGGUCUGCUGAGCCCCCAGCUCAACUACAGACCACCUACCCUGAACAUUGCC
Astyanax mexicanus (Mexican tetra) is the source of this 350-nucleotide long non-coding RNA. RefSeq lists it as uncharacterized. The record is from RefSeq and is a predicted model, not a curated record. Lineage: Eukaryota; Metazoa; Chordata; Actinopteri; Characiformes; Acestrorhamphidae. The transcript has 3 exons.